AUUAGAGUUUGAUCCUGGCUCAGAACGAACGCUGGCGGCGCGCCUAACACAUGCAAGUCAAACGAGAGGCCGUAGCAAUACGGUCGUACAGUGGCGAACGGGUGAGGAAGACGUGGGUAACCUACCCUCGAGUGGGGAAUAACCCGCCGAAAGGCGGGCUAAUACCGCGUACGCUUCUGUUCCUUCGGGGACGGAAGGAAAGCUGUGCCGUGGGCAUGGCGCUCAAGGAUGGGCUCACGCCCUAUCAGCUUGUUGGUAGGGUAACGGCCUACCAAGGCAACGACGGGUAGCUGGUCUGAGAGGACGAUCAGCCACACUGGCACUGCGACACGGGCCAGACUCCUACGGGAGGCAGCAGUGAGGAAUAUUGCGCAAUGGGCGAAAGCCUGACGCAGCGACGCCGCGUGGGGGAUGAAGGUCUUCGGAUUGUAAACCCCUUUCGGGAGGGAAGAUGGAACGGGCAACCGUUCGGACGGUACCUCCAGAAGAAGCCACGGCUAACUUCGUGCCAGCAGCCGCGGUAAUACGAAGGUGGCAA
RNAcentral lists this ribosomal RNA (538 nucleotides) under uncultured bacterium. Its description in RNAcentral is "bacterial SSU rRNA". It matches the Rfam family "Bacterial small subunit ribosomal RNA", at positions 1 to 537 of the family's 1533-position model. The record is from RNAcentral.